UCUUACCUCUUACUCCAUUAAUCUCACCCUCCCUUUCUCCCUCUCUCUACUUGGCCAUGGCCGGCCUCUUCUUCCCCACUCUCUCCCUCUCUCUGCUUUUCUACAAUAAACACCUUAAAACCAUGGACCGUCUCUGCUCAUCAGGAUCUGCCAGGCUGGAGCAACUGAGCAGGUCUCCCUCUAAAGAGCCACGCAUCUAACCUCUGGCCCACAAGUCUCCUUGUGCUCCAGCCACUGCUUCUGCCAACCCAAGCCACUCACCAAACCAAGCAGUCUGCUAACCCAAACUGCUGACUGAGCAAGCCAAGGACCCUUGUCCCCGAGAUAUUUCAUUUUCCUGUAAUGCCCUGUACUGCUUUGAGAAACCAGCAAGAAUGUCAUGACCAGAUGUCAGCUGUCAACCCUACAAAUAAAAGCCCAAAUGAAUUACCUUUAAAUAUAGCCU
This is a long non-coding RNA of Mastomys coucha (southern multimammate mouse), 445 nucleotides long. RefSeq lists it as uncharacterized. NCBI's taxonomy places the organism in Eukaryota, Metazoa, Chordata, Mammalia, Rodentia, Muridae. The transcript has 2 exons. The record is from RefSeq and is a predicted model, not a curated record.